RNAcentral lists this long non-coding RNA (1626 nucleotides) under Piliocolobus tephrosceles (Ugandan red Colobus). RNAcentral describes it as "lncRNA (ENSPTEG00000010558.1)". Lineage: Eukaryota; Metazoa; Chordata; Mammalia; Primates; Cercopithecidae. The record is from RNAcentral.
AUUCAUCUUUGUUGCCAUUUCGAGCUGAUAAUUUUUCAAAAGAACAAUUGUUUAAAAGACCUAAAAGUGCUUUAUUUAGCACACUAAUGGAUAGAAAGCGUACUUCUUAUAUAAAAUUUAAUGAUGAAACUAAUAUGGAAGUGCCAGAAGACAGUACAACCGACAUACUUAUGAAUCAUAAAGAUUUGUUAAUAAAUAAACGAGAUAAAAUAAAAGUAAAUAAAGAAGUUAUUUGUGUAAAAGAUUUAAUAGAAAAGAGUAUAAAGGAAUUUUGGGUUAAUAGUAAAGAUGAAUUUUUUAAAAAAUAUUGUGAUUCACCUGACCAUCUAAAUGAAAAAGAAAUUGACAAAUUAAAAGAAUUAAUACCUUUUCAAACUGAUAAUUGUAAUUAUACAAUUGAUCAUAUGUUUAACGAUGAUUUAGAUAAUGAAAGUGAAUCUUUUGUAUUAAAAGAUUAUAUAACAGAUGAAAAGUUAAAAAAUUUUAAUUUAGAUAUGAUUGAUAAUCAUUUAUAUGAUAAGCAAUGUUUAUAUGAACAUGAAAUGAUAAGUAAUAAAAAAAUAAAUUCACAUAUUAAAUAUAUUCAUAAAGAUGCAAAAAUUGAGGUGGACAAAUUAUUACAUUUAUUUCCUAGAGAUUUUAUAAAAAAAUAUAAAGUUGUUGAUUUGUUAGGUGAAGGUGUAUAUGGUAAAGUGUUUAAGGCAGAAGCGUUAGAUGAUUCUUAUUUGCAUUUUGCUGUAAAAGUGUUGAGAUAUUUUUGGCCUGUGUUUAAACACAAAUUUGGUACUGAAGAAUUUGCUGUAAACGAAUUUAACAUUAUGCGUAUUUUAUUCCAUCCAAAUAUUGUUGGUCUAAUUGAUAGUUUUAGAGUUCAUACAUAUCGAAAAUACAAUGUAAAAAGCCAUCGAAAUCAUAGAGAUAAGAGCAAAAAAGAAUCAAUACAUUAUGAUUUUAGUAACCAACCAUGUAAAGAAUUAGAACAUAAUGUCUAUAUGGCAGGACGUGAUUCCCUCGAAAAAUUGCAACAAUAUACUGAAAUAAUUAAAAAUUGUGAUAAUACUGUGGAAGAAUUAGAAAAAGAAUUAGUAAUAAACAAUAAAGAUUAUAUUGAAGACAAACUAGAAGAUGAUAAAAAAAAGGAUGCUAUUAAUUCUAAAGGUAAUAAAAAAAACUCUUCUGAAUUAAAACAAUGUUCUGUAUUACCUAAAAGUGACACCACGUAUGGACGUAGUGAUAAUAUAAGUGCACAUAAUUUAAUCGCUAGUAUCAAAAAUAAUAAUAAUAUUACCACUAAUACUACUACAACUGCCAUUGCCACAACUACCACUACCACUGCCACAACUACCAAUACUUCUAGCAACCUGCACCAUGAUAAGUCACAAAAUAAAAAUGCUAUAUUACAUGUAUCCACUAAAGAAGAGAAAGUAAAAAAUAGAAACCUAAAUAAAACAUAUCAUUUAAGGAAUAUAUAAAAAAUGGAACACAUUAUAAAAAUAUAAUCGCUAAAAAUAUAAUCUCUAAAAAUAUAGUCUCUAAAAAUAUAGUCUCUAAAAAUAUAGUCUCUAAAAAUAUAGUCUCUAAAAAUAUAAUCUCUAAAAAUCUAGUCUCUAAAAAUGAACAAAAAAG